RNAcentral lists this long non-coding RNA (1130 nucleotides) under Monodelphis domestica (gray short-tailed opossum). RNAcentral's name for it is "lncRNA (ENSMODG00000034068.2)". The record is from RNAcentral. Lineage: Eukaryota; Metazoa; Chordata; Mammalia; Didelphimorphia; Didelphidae.
AUGGAUUUCUGGACUAGCCAAUUAAUAAAAAUUAAGAAAUACUGCUUCUCAAGAAUGUCAAGCAGUACACCUGUUUGCCUCAGUAUCCUUAUCUAUCAAAUAAGGAAAUGGACUUCCGGUCAAGAUGGCGGUGUAGAAGCAGCGAAAGUUCAGACCUCGGAAACCCUUCCUUACCGAUCACAAACAGAGUGCUCCUAGGCCACCGAAAUUCAAGCUGAACAACAGGAUAGACCUGGGGAAACCUCCUCCUGGACCUGGAUCAAAAGGUACCACACCCCAAAAGCCAGAACCCUACAUCACUCGGAUCUAAGGGGCAGACAGAAAGAAGGUCCUAGGAACCAUCCCCCCCAACCCAGAGUACUGAGCCCAAGGCAGCAGCGGGAACCUCAGGGCUCUGAGGACUCACCUUGAAAGCAACCCGAGCCAGUCUCCAGGGUGCCCAACACAGACAGCAGGGAAACAUAGAGAGAAGGGGGAAGCCUGUAGCCCCCUGGCUGGGUUCUUCCAUCUGAGUCUCAAGGGAGGUCCCAGCUUUAGGGCACCAGCUGAACCCAAUCCCAUCAGGAGCCCUCAGAGCUACUGAAAGGACAGAAAACUCAGGGCUAGUGAAGGGCUUACCUUGAAAACAACCCGGGCCAGUCUCCAGGCAUUCAACACAGAUUGUGGAGGAGGAGGCCUAUUGCAUCAGGGCUCAUUUGGCCCAAACCAGGUGAACCUAAUCCCAUCAGGAGCCCUCAGAGCCCAGGCAAGCCACUACCCCCCCCCCCCCUUAGAGAGCAGGGUCUUCUGAAAAAAACAGAAACCAAGAGGCAAAGUCAAGAUGGCAGCCUAGAAGGAGCAUAGACCUGGCAGCCUGGCCAGAGCUUCGGAGAUCCUCCAUAUCUGCUCCAGCCGUCCAGGAAGUUUAAAACUCAGAGUAAACCGAGCCCAACUAAGCUGAACUCAAUCCCAUCAAAAUUCUCCAGAACACAGGGAAGCCCAGGCUCCCCACCCAUCCUCAUUGACUGCUGGACUUUAAGUCAAUCAAAAGCCUUCAGAGGACAGGAAAGCUCAAACCCCCAACAACCAUCUCCCAGAGAUUACACCAAGAGAUCCUCUGUUAAAGCCCCAAGAAGGGGAGACUGACAGAA